GGUUCCAUGGUGUAGCAAUUAGCACAUCUGCUUUAUACGCAGAAGAUCCUGGGUUCAUGCCCCAGUGGAGCCA
Pteropus alecto (black flying fox) is the source of this 73-nucleotide non-coding RNA. NCBI's taxonomy places the organism in Eukaryota, Metazoa, Chordata, Mammalia, Chiroptera, Pteropodidae. The record is from Rfam.